UAAAACGUAGGAGGCUAGCGUUAUCCGGAUUUAUUGGGCGUAAAGCGCGUGCAGGCGGUUUGAUAAGUUGGAUGUGAAAUCUCCCGGCUUAACUGGGAGCGGUCGUUCAAAACUAUCAGACUAGAGAAUGGGAGAGGAAGGUGGAAUUCCGGGUGUAGUGGUGAAAUGCGUAGAUAUCCGGAGGAACACCAGUGGCGAAAGCGGCCUUCUAGACCAUUUCUGACGCUAAGACGCGAAAGCUAGGGUAGCAAACGGG
RNAcentral lists this ribosomal RNA (256 nucleotides) under uncultured bacterium. Its description in RNAcentral is "partial 16S ribosomal RNA". It matches the Rfam family "Bacterial small subunit ribosomal RNA", at positions 521 to 776 of the family's 1533-position model. The record is from RNAcentral.